AGCUUGUUCAGCGGCUUCUUCAGCACGGUUCCUACUGGAAGAAGCCCCAACUCCAAGCAUUGCCGUUCCAGAAUUUUUCAUUAUUGCCUUUACAUCAGCAAAAUCCACGUUUACCAGCCCAGGUAUAGUUAUUAUAUCAGAUAUUCCUUGAACACCUUGACAAAGUACAUCAUCAGCAAGAAGAAAAGCAUUUUGAAGUGGUGUCUGCUCAUCAGCAAUAUCGAGAAGACGAUCAUUGUGAAUUACUAUAAGAGUAUCAACAUUUUUUUGAAGUUUUUUAAUUGCUUCCAAAGCCUGCAAAGAUCUUUUGCGUCCUUCAAAGCUGAAUG
Molecule: unclassified non-coding RNA, 329 nt
Filed under: Hevea brasiliensis (rubber tree)
Lineage: Eukaryota; Viridiplantae; Streptophyta; Magnoliopsida; Malpighiales; Euphorbiaceae
Source: RNAcentral